CUCCCCGCCUGCUACAGCGGAGGGGGCGAGGCGGGGCCGUGGCGUGUCAGCGGCGGCGCUUGUAUUAAUAGUGUAUCUAUUCAACAGAAGGAUUUGGCCUUAAGUCAGAAAGAUGAGAUAAACAGGAUAACCAUUAAAACACAAAAACAUAUGGUAUCACCAACUGCGUGAAGAUCAACAUCAGAUUAAGUCCCAUUCAGUGAGCAGUGUUUAUGCAUCGUGUGGCCGGACAGGAUGUUCUACUGAUGCUUCGGACAGGGCUCCAGCUGUGUUGUAUGAAGUACAAGGACUGCAUCUCACUGCUGAAGUGAGAGAAACUACCAGAAUGUGGGAAAACCACUUUCAGUCUCUGAAGAGCCAUGUGCCACUUCAGUAUGUUGGGACAUGAGGAAAAACCGGGAUUGAACAGCAACCUGAUUAUCAACAGCAGAAGAUGGUAAGAAAAUGACAAAGCAAGGAGAGAAAAGAGUGUACGAAUCUCUAUAAUAUUCUCAGGUAUGGAGUUAGAAGACUGGUUAGGAUUGGUAAAUUUAAGUUUUAGAAGAGGUUGAAAGCUCUUUAUCAAUACACGUAAGCAGUUUACAGGAUUCUGGGAUAUAACUUCACCUGAGUGAUCCAGUCCCAGUCCUGUACCUAAUCCUUUUAUUUUCAAACAGACUUGCAACAUUUCACCUUCUAUACUGGACAACCAUGGAAAAAAUAACAAUGAAGAGAUUAAGCUCAAAACUUCUGACAAAGAAAUUGGAAGAAAAUAAUCUCCACUGCAGGGUAGGGAAUGACACCUCUGGAGUGCUGGUCAAUCCAAUUUGGGAACUGGGGAGAGUACAAAAAUAUUGAUUUUGAAUCUGAGAACAUGCAAAUUCUAAGAAAAAAAGAAAGGCUGCAUUCUAUAUCCAGCCACUUACAAUGUCU
Pezoporus occidentalis (night parrot) is the source of this 912-nucleotide long non-coding RNA. RefSeq lists it as uncharacterized. The record is from RefSeq and is a predicted model, not a curated record. Lineage: Eukaryota; Metazoa; Chordata; Aves; Psittaciformes; Psittacidae. The transcript is spliced from 4 exons.